Molecule: ribosomal RNA, 490 nt
Filed under: uncultured bacterium
Lineage: Bacteria
Description: partial 16S ribosomal RNA
Rfam family: Bacterial small subunit ribosomal RNA
Source: RNAcentral
AUUGAACGCUGGCGGCAUGCCUAACACAUGCAAGUCGAACGGCCGCAUGAUCUACCUUGCCCGUUUGAUGUCGCGUGGCGCGGGGGUGUGUAAUAUAUAGGACCGUGCCCUGUUGCGGGGGUUAACUCGUCGAAAGACUGACUAUUACCGCAUAUACCCUGAACGUGAAAGUGCGGGAGCGCAAGGCCUCUUGCUCUAGGAGCUGACGCUGUCGGAUUAGCUAGUUGGUGAGGUAAAGGCUCACCAAGGCGACGAUCAGUAGCUGGUCUGAGAGGACGAUCAGCCACACUGGAACUGAGACACGGUCCAGACUCCUACGGGAGGCAGCAGUGGGGAAUUUUGGACAAUGGGCGAAAGCCUGAUCCAGCAAUGCCGCGUGUGUGAAGAAGGCCUUCGGGUUGUAAAGCACUUUUGUUCGGAAAGAAAAGACGCUGGUUAAUACCUGGGGGUGAUGACGGUACCGAAAGAAUAAGCACCGGCUAACUACGUG